AGUGAACGCUGGCGGUAGGCCUAACACAUGCAAGUCGAACGGCAGCACAGUAAGAGCUUGCUCUUACGGGUGGCGAGUGGCGGACGGGUGAGGAAUACAUCGGCAUCUGCUUUUUCGUGGGGGAUAACGGAGGGAAACUUACGCUAAUACCGCAUACGACCUACGGGUGAAAGCAGGGGAGCUUCGGACCUUGCGCGAUUGAAUGAGCCGAGGUCGGAUUAGCUAGUUGGCAGGGUAAAGGCCCACCAAGGCGACGAUCCGUAGCUGGUCUGAGAGGAUGAUCAGCCACACUGGAACUGAGACACGGUCCAGACUCCUACGGGAGGCAGCAGUGGGGAAUAUUGGACAAUGGGCGCAAGCCUGAUCCAGCCAUACCGCGUGGGUGAAGAAGGCCUUCGGGUUGUAAAGCCCUUUUGUUGGGAAAGAAAAGCAGCAGGUUAAUACCCCGCUGUUCUGACGGUACCCAAAGAAUAAGCACCGGCUAACUUCGUG
This 492-nucleotide ribosomal RNA is filed under the name uncultured bacterium. RNAcentral describes it as "partial 16S ribosomal RNA". It matches the Rfam family "Bacterial small subunit ribosomal RNA", at positions 29 to 507 of the family's 1533-position model. The record is from RNAcentral.